This 253-nucleotide ribosomal RNA is filed under the name uncultured bacterium. RNAcentral's name for it is "partial 16S ribosomal RNA". It matches the Rfam family "Bacterial small subunit ribosomal RNA", at positions 524 to 776 of the family's 1533-position model. The record is from RNAcentral.
UACGAAGGGUGCAAGCGUUAAUCGGAAUUACUGGGCGUAAAGCGUGCGUAGACGGCCUGUUAAGUCGGAUGUGAAAGCCCCGGGCUCAACCUGGGAAUGGCAUCCGAUACUGGUGGGCUAGAGUGCGGUAGAGGAGAGCGGAAUUCCCGGUGUAGCGGUGAAAUGCGUAGAGAUCGGGAGGAACAUCCGUGGCGAAGGCGGCUCUCUGGACCAGCACUGACGUUGAGGCACGAAAGCGUGGGGAGCAAACAGG